CACAUGCAAGUCGAACGAGAAAGUGGAGCAAUCCAUGAGUACAGUGGCGUACGGGUGAGUAACACGUGACUAACCUACCCUCGAGUGGGGAAUAACUUCGGGAAACCGAGGCUAAUACCGCAUAACAUCUACGGAUCAAAUGCGUAAGCAGCUUGAGGAGGGGGUCGCGGCUGAUUAGCUAGUUGGCGGGGUAAUGGCCCACCAAGGCAGUGAUCAGUAGCCGGCCUGAGAGGGCGCACGGCCACACUGGAACUGAAACACGGUCCAGACUCCUACGGGAGGCAGCAGUGGGGAAUUUUGCGCAAUGGGGGAAACCCUGACGCAGCAACGCCGCGUGGAGGAUGAAGCCCUUUGGGGUGUAAACUCCUUUCGAUCGGGACGAUUAUGACGGUACCGGAUGAAGAAGCACCGGCUAACUCUGUGCCAGCAGCCGCGGUAAUACAGAGGGUGCAAGCGUUGUUCGGAAUUAUUGGGCGUAAAGGGUGCGUANGCGGUGCGGUAAGUCUUCUGUGAAACCUCCGGGCUUAACUCGGAGCCUGCAGAGGAAACUGCCGUGCUGGAGUAUGG
Molecule: ribosomal RNA, 567 nt
Filed under: uncultured bacterium
Lineage: Bacteria
Description: bacterial SSU rRNA
Rfam family: Bacterial small subunit ribosomal RNA
Source: RNAcentral